Long non-coding RNA from Calidris pugnax (ruff), 457 nucleotides. RefSeq lists it as uncharacterized. The record is from RefSeq and is a predicted model, not a curated record. The transcript has 3 exons. Lineage: Eukaryota; Metazoa; Chordata; Aves; Charadriiformes; Scolopacidae.
CGGCGUCAGGGCUGCCAUCCUGCUGUGCCAGCAGCUCCUGAAGGAAAACUGCCCGGAUUUGGACAAAAUGGGCUGGUGGGAAGAUUGCAAAGGCAGCCAAAGCGAGAGGAGGCUGAGCACGACCGAGAGGGAGAGGAGCCUCCCUGCUCCGUGGCUGGUUUCAGCGGCCGUAGGAGAAGCUGGGGCUGGAGGAGAGAGCAGGACUUGUGGAACAUCAGGAAUAAUGAUUCAAGCCAGCCAGAUUUCAACAGCGAGGAAAAAAAAAAGAACCUCUUGAGAGCGGCAUAUUGAGAAAUGGCUACAUUAAAUAUAAAAAAGAAAAAGAGUGUGUAAAGCUUCCUAACUUAUUACAUUUCCUGCCACACGUCUAUCGGAUGGGGUGUAAAGAGCCACCAAGUCCUUAGCAAACCCCCCCUUCUCCAACAAAGCCCCUGGGAAGGUCCCGUCCCCGUCCCGC